RNAcentral lists this ribosomal RNA (459 nucleotides) under uncultured bacterium. RNAcentral describes it as "partial 16S ribosomal RNA". It matches the Rfam family "Bacterial small subunit ribosomal RNA", at positions 338 to 795 of the family's 1533-position model. The record is from RNAcentral.
CCUACGGAGGCAGCAGUGAGGAAUAUUGGUCAAUGGACGAGAGUCUGAACCAGCCAAGUAGCGUGAAGGAUGACUGCCCUAUGGGUUGUAAACUUCUUUUAUAUGGGAAUAAAAUGUUCCACGUGUGGGAUUUUGUAGGUACCAUAGGAAUAAGGAGCGGCGAACUCCGUGCCAGCAGCCGCGGUAAUACGGAGGAUCCGAGCGUUAUCCGGAUUUAUGGGGUAUAAAGGGAGCGUAUGUGGAUUGUGAAGUCAGUUGUGAAAGUUGGCGGCUCAACCGUAAAAUUGCAGUUGAAACUGGCAGUCUUGAGUGCAGUAGAGGUGGCCGGCAUUCGUGGUGUAGCGGUGAAAUGCUUCGAUAUCACGAAGAACUCCGAUUGCGACGGCAGCUCACUGGACUGCAACUGACACUGCGGCUCGACCGUGUGGGUAUCAAACAGGAUUAGAUACCCCUGUAGUC